GCUGAAAUACUAGUUUCCAUACAAUCACCAAAGUUAAACAACAUUAAGCUUGGUUAGUACUUAGAUGGGUGACUGCUUGUGAAUACCAUGUGCUGUAAG
This is a non-coding RNA of Acanthosepion pharaonis, 99 nucleotides long. The record is from the annotation of a GenBank genome assembly. NCBI's taxonomy places the organism in Eukaryota, Metazoa, Mollusca, Cephalopoda, Sepiida, Sepiidae.